CAAGUCGAGCGAACUUGCGGGAGCUUGCUCUCAAAAGUUAGCGGCGGACGGGUGAGUAACACGUGGGCAACCUGCCUAUAAGACUGGGAUAACUUCGGGAAACCGGAGCUAAUACCGGAUAAUUCUUUUCUACUCAUGUAGAAAAGCUGAAAGACGGUUUACGCUGUCACUUAAAGAUGGGCCCGCGGCGCAUUAGCUAGUUGGUGAGGUAACGGCUCACCAAGGCAACGAUGCGUAGCCGACCUGAGAGGGUGAUCGGCCACACUGGGACUGAGACACGGCCCAGACUCCUACGGGAGGCAGCAGUAGGGAAUCUUCCGCAAUGGACGAAAGUCUGACGGAGCAACGCCGCGUGAGUGAUGAAGGUUUUCGGAUUGUAAAACUCUGUUGUUAGGGAAGAACAAGUACGAGAGUAACUGCUCGUACNUUGACGGUACCUAACCAGAAAGCCACGGCUAACUACGUGCCAGCAGCCGCGGUAAUACGUAGGUGGCAAGCGUUGUCCGGAAUUAUUGGGCGUAAAGCGCGCGCAGGCGGUCCUUUAAGUCUGAUGUGAAAGCCCACGGCUCAACCGUGGAGGGUCAUUGGAAACUGGGGGACUUGAGUGCAGGAGAGAAGAGUGGAAUUCCACGUGUAGCGGUGAAAUGCGUAGAGAUGUGGAGGAACACCAGUGGCGAAGGCGACUCUUUGGCCUGUAACUGACCCUGAGGCGCGAAGCGUGGGGAGCAACAGGAUUAGAUACCCUGGUAUCCACGCCGUAACGAUGAGUGCUAAGUGUUAGAGGGUU
This 787-nucleotide ribosomal RNA is filed under the name uncultured Bacillus sp. RNAcentral describes it as "bacterial SSU rRNA". It matches the Rfam family "Bacterial small subunit ribosomal RNA", at positions 58 to 832 of the family's 1533-position model. The record is from RNAcentral. Lineage: Bacteria; Bacillati; Bacillota; Bacilli; Caryophanales; Bacillaceae.